CUACUACUCCCUCCGUCCGAAAAUACUUGUCAUCAAAAUGAAUGAAAAGGGAUGUAUCUAGAACUAAAAUACGUCUAGAUACAUCCCCUUUUGUUCAUUUUAGUGACAAGUAUUUUCGGACGGAGGGAGUACAAG
Triticum aestivum (bread wheat) is the source of this 135-nucleotide non-coding RNA. The record is from Rfam. NCBI's taxonomy places the organism in Eukaryota, Viridiplantae, Streptophyta, Magnoliopsida, Poales, Poaceae.